UACGUAGGGGGCAAGCGUUGUCCGGAAUCAUUGGGCGUAAAGCGCGUGUAGGCGGCGCGAUAAGUCUGCUGUGAAAGUCCAGGGCUCAACCCUGGGAUGGCGGUGGAUACUGUCGAGCUCGAGUCCGGAAGAGGCGAGUGGAAUUCCUGGUGUAGCGGUGAAAUGCGCAGAUAUCAGGAGGAACACCAAUGGCGAAGGCAGCUCGCUGGGACGGUACUGACGCUGAGACGCGAAAGCGUGGGGAGCAAACAGG
Molecule: ribosomal RNA, 253 nt
Filed under: uncultured bacterium
Lineage: Bacteria
Description: partial 16S ribosomal RNA
Rfam family: Bacterial small subunit ribosomal RNA
Source: RNAcentral